AAGAUGUAUGCUCGUGCUCGCUGCCGCCGCAGGGGAAUCCGGUGCGAAUCCGGAACUGUCCCGCAACGGUGUACUUGCGUGCGUUCCUCUGCUUUCGCGCACGCAUGGUCAGUCCGAGCACCUGCCGGCAGCGCACCCGAUCC
RNAcentral lists this non-coding RNA (143 nucleotides) under Streptomyces phaeoluteigriseus. The record is from RNAcentral. Lineage: Bacteria; Bacillati; Actinomycetota; Actinomycetes; Kitasatosporales; Streptomycetaceae.